CAUCCCAGGUCAGGCGGGAUUACCUGCUGAGCUUAAGCAUAUCAAUAAGUGGAGGAAAAGAAACUUACAAGGAUUCCCCUAGUAAUGGAGAGCGAACCAGGAACAGCCCAGCCUUAAAAUUGGAUGGAUACGUUGUCCAA
This 140-nucleotide ribosomal RNA is filed under the name Hyoscyamus niger (henbane). Its description in RNAcentral is "partial 26S ribosomal RNA". It matches the Rfam family "Eukaryotic large subunit ribosomal RNA", at positions 1 to 141 of the family's 3401-position model. The record is from RNAcentral. Lineage: Eukaryota; Viridiplantae; Streptophyta; Magnoliopsida; Solanales; Solanaceae.